CCCAAAUCUCAUUCAGAAAAAUCCAAACUCAAAUGGUUUCAUCCAUUCCCUGGGAAUUUUCGUCGUCAUGGAGAAGGGUUUUCGUUGUCCCCGAUGUGGCUCGCUUGAAGGAUCAAUGGAGAAACUCUACAACAAGUGAAUACCCACUAAUCAAGGCAGCUUGAUAUAUGGUUGAUGUAACCGGACAAAAACAACAAGAAUGUCCACACUAGAUCCAUGUGUAUGUAGUCACCAUAGUGACCUUAGUAUGUUGUAACCGUGUAUGUAGCUGGAAACUCUGUGUAUUGUAAAAGUUUACAUAUUGGCGAUGUAAUUGUGAACCAUUAAAUGUGGAUUUGGAAGUUGUAAUUUAAUCUAGUUAUUGAUAGAAGGCUAUGAGAAAAUUAUUAUUCCACCAUUUAUUGUAGCUGCUGAAGCUGGAAUGGCAAAAUUAUUUACUUGAGGUUGACAAA
Molecule: long non-coding RNA, 452 nt
Organism: Juglans microcarpa x Juglans regia
Lineage: Eukaryota; Viridiplantae; Streptophyta; Magnoliopsida; Fagales; Juglandaceae
Exons: 2
Source: RefSeq, a predicted model, not a curated record